This 111-nucleotide small nucleolar RNA is filed under the name Malassezia pachydermatis. RNAcentral's name for it is "Small nucleolar RNA Z13/snr52". It matches the Rfam family "Small nucleolar RNA Z13/snr52". From Rfam's summary of the family: Z13 or snr52 is a member of the C/D class of snoRNA which contain the C (UGAUGA) and D (CUGA) box motifs. Most of the members of the box C/D family function in directing site-specific 2'-O-methylation of substrate RNAs. Lineage: Eukaryota; Fungi; Basidiomycota; Malasseziomycetes; Malasseziales; Malasseziaceae. The record is from Rfam by way of RNAcentral.
GUAUGCAUCAGGACGAAACCAUACGGAUGUAAACUGGAUCUAUGAUCCUGACUUCCGAGAGCGCUUUUUCUCAUGUGGAUAGUUCCGCUGCCUUCCUACUGAUCAUCCAUU